AGAGUUUGAUCAUGGCUCAGAUUGAACGCUGGCGGCAGGCCUAACACAUGCAAGUCGAGCGGAUGACGGGAGCUUGCUCCUUGAUUCAGCGGCGGACGGGUGAGUAAUGCCUAGGAAUCUGCCUGGUAGUGGGGGACAACGUUUCGAAAGGAACGCUAAUACCGCAUACGUUCUACGGGAGAAAGCAGGGGACCUUCGGGCCUUGCGCUAUCAGAUGAGCCUAGGUCGGAUUAGCUUGUUGGUGAGGUAAUGGCUCACCAAGGCGACGAUCCGUAACUGGUCUGAGAGGAUGAUCAGUCACACUGGAACUGAGACACGGUCCAGACUCCUACGGGAGGCAGC
Molecule: ribosomal RNA, 342 nt
Filed under: uncultured bacterium
Lineage: Bacteria
Description: bacterial SSU rRNA
Rfam family: Bacterial small subunit ribosomal RNA
Source: RNAcentral